GCAGAUUCAGUAAUCCACUUCUAUGAUACUAGAGUAAAAAAAUUAUAUCAUAAGUUAUAUCCGAUUGAAUUACCACCUUGUGAGAAGUCCAUAGCCUUGCUUUACCAAACUGACAUUUAACAGUUAUAUAAAUAUGACAGGUAGACUCACAGAAACACUCAAAUAUUCAUUGUAGGCCAAUAACAUAAUUCAUUUCAGUCAGUGCUGUGGUGAAGGAUCUAAUGACCAACACUCUUGUGUGUCACUGCUUGUCCCUGGAGAAGGGUCGCUGCUCUGGUCUAUUACUGUCCAAUGUUUUAUGUUUGCAAACUGAGGCUCUGGUUCAAAGACACCCCAAAUAUUGGAUUGAGAGGUUGCUCCGGGUUUUGUUAUUCCUUGAUCGGCCAAGAUGUUGAUGAGAAAAUUGAUGUAUCUCAUAGCCAGCCUUAAAGUUUCAUUCUUGCUUAGCUUCUUGUCGGGUGGAUGGGUCGGAAUUAGCUUUCUCAGUUCAGCAAAUGCGCUAUUAACAUUUUGCUGUCUCCACCGCUCCCUUGUAUUAAAGAUCUUACGUGUCAUUUUCACAAUGGGAUGCCCCAAAUGUUUGUC
Long non-coding RNA from Nanorana parkeri, 585 nucleotides. RefSeq lists it as uncharacterized. The record is from RefSeq and is a predicted model, not a curated record. The transcript is spliced from 3 exons. NCBI's taxonomy places the organism in Eukaryota, Metazoa, Chordata, Amphibia, Anura, Dicroglossidae.